ACUCCAACACUCGAUUUGGUCGCU
This 24-nucleotide non-coding RNA is filed under the name Gossypium hirsutum (cotton). The record is from RNAcentral. Lineage: Eukaryota; Viridiplantae; Streptophyta; Magnoliopsida; Malvales; Malvaceae.